Molecule: ribosomal RNA, 352 nt
Filed under: uncultured bacterium
Lineage: Bacteria
Description: partial 16S ribosomal RNA
Rfam family: Bacterial small subunit ribosomal RNA
Source: RNAcentral
CCUACGGGUGGCAGCAGUGAGGAAUAUUGGGCAAUGGACGAAAGUCUGAACCAGCCAAGUAGCGUGAAGGAUGACGGCCCUAUGGGUUGUAAACUUCUUUUAUAAAGGCAUAAAACGAGGCACGUGUGCCUUUUUGCAUGUACUUUAUGAAUAAGGAUCGGCUAACUCCGUGCCAGCAGCCGCGGUAAUACGGAGGAGCCGAGCGUUAUCCGGAUUUAUUGGGUUUAAAGGGAGCGUAGAUGGGUUGUUAAGUCAGGUGUGAAAGUUGUCGGCUCAACCGGAAAAUUGCACUUGAUACUGGCAGUCUUGAGGACAGUUGAGGUAGGCGGAAUUCGUGGUGUAGCCGUGAAAU